This 486-nucleotide ribosomal RNA is filed under the name uncultured bacterium. Its description in RNAcentral is "partial 16S ribosomal RNA". It matches the Rfam family "Bacterial small subunit ribosomal RNA", at positions 28 to 507 of the family's 1533-position model. The record is from RNAcentral.
GACGAACGCUGGCGGCGUGCUUAACACAUGCAAGUCGAACGCUGAAGACCUGGCUUUUGUUGGGUUGGAUGAGUGGCGAACGGGUGAGUAACACGUGAGUAACCUGCCCUCUUCUUUGGGAUAACGCCCGGAAACGGGUGCUAAUACUGGAUAUUCACUGAUCUUCGCAUGGGGGUUGGUGGAAAGGUUUGUUCUGGUGGGGGAUGGGCUCGCGGCCUAUCAGCUUGUUGGUGGGGUGAUGGCCUACCCAGGCUUUGACGGGUAGCCGGCCUGAGAGGGUGACCGGUAACAUUGGGAAUGGGAUACGGCCCAGACUCCUACGGGAGGCAGCAGUGGGGAAUAGUGCACAAGGGGCGAAAGCCUGAUGCAGCGACGCCGCGUGAGGGAUGGAGGCCUUCGGGUUGUAAACCUCUUUCGCUCAUGGUCAAGCCGCAACUGUGGGUUGUGGUGAGGGUAGUGGGUAAAGAAGCGCCGGCUAACUACGUG